UCCAGUGCGAUGGCAAAGAGGCCACACCCGUUCCCAUCCCGAACACGCAGUUAAGCUCUUUUGCGCCGAUGGUAGUUGGGGUCUCCCCCUGUGAGAGUAGGACGUCGCUGGGC
Molecule: ribosomal RNA, 113 nt
Filed under: Planococcus salinarum
Lineage: Bacteria; Bacillati; Bacillota; Bacilli; Caryophanales; Caryophanaceae
Source: RNAcentral